UAAGAUAGAGGCGCAGAUUUAAAGAGUAGCAUUAACGCCAAUAGUUCAACAUAUUGUUAAUGUGAAAGGUAACUCUGCCGAAGAGUGUAUAGGUUGAAAUAUACUCGUCUGGUUGUGCGUUUAAUAGGCGUACGAUUGUCAUCUUAUCCGAUUAACGGACGAUGGAGCGCUAUCG
Molecule: non-coding RNA, 175 nt
Filed under: uncultured Ruminiclostridium sp.
Lineage: Bacteria; Bacillati; Bacillota; Clostridia; Eubacteriales; Oscillospiraceae
Description: Lysine riboswitch
Rfam family: Lysine riboswitch aptamer
About the family: Riboswitches are metabolite binding domains within certain messenger RNAs that serve as precision sensors for their corresponding targets. Allosteric rearrangement of mRNA structure is mediated by ligand binding, and this results in modulation of gene expression.
Source: RNAcentral